UGCCUGCCUGUCUGCUGGGAGUGUG
This 25-nucleotide unclassified non-coding RNA is filed under the name Mus musculus (house mouse). Its description in RNAcentral is "oocyte_clustered_small_RNA6193". Lineage: Eukaryota; Metazoa; Chordata; Mammalia; Rodentia; Muridae. The record is from RNAcentral.